This 2139-nucleotide ribosomal RNA is filed under the name Triticum aestivum (bread wheat). Its description in RNAcentral is "partial small subunit ribosomal RNA". Lineage: Eukaryota; Viridiplantae; Streptophyta; Magnoliopsida; Poales; Poaceae. The record is from RNAcentral.
UACAACGAUAUGGAGAGCUCGGUAGCAGGGCAGUAGGAGCCUGCGGGCGUCGUGGGCGGGUACGCGGACGGGUGUAACCUGAUGCUGCGGUAGGUGGGUCCUAGGUAAACAUUGUACCGUACCCCGAGUUAGAAAACCGUUUUACACGUACGAAGCAAAGUACUCGUUUGCGUACUACUCGGGAUACUGGACGUGCACUAGGUACUAGGGUUAUACUUCAGCGAUCGGGUAGUUACCAUGUGGUAGAGGUAAAAACAGCGCUUAAAAACACCACACUAACGUGUUUUACUCUCUUCCACCGGUGCCCGAGCGUUUGGUAACUCUAAAUGCGCCUGUUUAUACUACAGACAAAAGGUACAGCUGCAACCUCUACGGGAUUCUUUUGACGGAUAUUCUAGUUUACUAGUUGUAACGCACGACUAGCCACUUGUGGGGUUGAGCGGGAGGUUCUUUAGGGAUCUUCGUUCUUUCGUUGCGUUGGAUUUUGGGGUUACGCGAAACCUGGAGCGGCGCGGCUACGGGUAGGGGAGGGCUGGCGGGACAGGGUUACCUCAGUGGCAGCCGCCCGUGGCACACUGGGCGGAUGGGCCGUACGGGCCCCACGGGAUGGGUCGUCGGACAGGGUGGACGGGCAGGCACUCGCCUCCGCCGUUGCUGUCGACACCCUAGGGACGAUGCUAGAGGCCACCUCCGCCGCGGUGGGAGCGCAACCAGCAACAGGUCUAGGUAUUCACACAGAUGCUGUUCUUCGGUCGUCGUUGUGACCUUCAGCGCUGAGGAGGUGGUCGAGGAGAAGGCCGCGCAGUGAGGAGGAGAGCGAGACGGAGGCCGCCGCCGCUGAGAUCACAACGUAGUCUUAAGCGUGCUGGCCCGGUAGCGAGGAGGAGACCGCCGAAGUCGUGACGUAGUCGGCAGCUCCACAUGGGCGUCGGCGACGUCCCGAAGAUGAGUAACGGGGGGACGUCCGUGGACAGUGCAUGCUCCACCUAGGCCUCCUACGCCUCCAACGCCGCAGCAGAAGUCAGACGUUGUAGUACACUGAACGAAGAGGUUCAUGUCUGGCGGAGCUGAUGAUGAUGCGGAUGCAUAGCUAGACGUACGUCGCAGGAGGAGGAGGAGGAUGUCAUGACCAUAACACAGUCGAGAUGGGUUGGUGAGGGGUCGGCCGCGUAGGGGUGGGGUGGAGGGCGUGCCGUGGAUGGGGGAGGACGGGGCUAGGUUUGGGGGUGGAGGGAGGUGGAAGAUGGUGGCGGCGACGAUCUGGUGGCCAGAGGCAGAGCGACGGGGCGGGGACAGGUGGAAGACGGCGGCGGUCUCGUGGCGGCAUCCAACGGUGGGCGGCGCGGUGAGGUAGAGGAAGAUGGCAGCGGGGACGGUGUGGCGGGGAGGGUACGUAGCGAAACGGGUUGGGUCAAGGGAUCACACGGUGAUGAGGAGGGGCGUUGGUGGACGAACAGGAGAAGCCGCGUCGGGUUCGCUAGGACCGCCGGGAGGCUCCUGACCGGCAAGGAGAUACCCGGUCUAGGCCGCUCUAAAAUGGUUAGGGCGUGGAGGAGCUCGGUCUAGGCUCGACGGAGCCCCAGGAGGAGAGGCAGGUGCCGGUCUGCGUCCGGUCGGAGCAGCAGAGGAUGGAGGCGGCCCUUGCCCUAGGGGCGAGUGCACGGGGGGUCGAAGAGAAGGCCGGUCCUGUUUGCCGGAGCUACGUCGAGAAGCCACCCACUUCACGCCAGGUGCUGCUCGCGGUUACGUCACGCCACGAGAGGUUAAGAAGUCUAAACAAAACCCGUUAAGUCAAACCUCGAAGCGCAGGCGGGGUGUCGGAGCCACCAGAGGGUGGAGGGAUGAAGGUAGGAGCCGCCGGCUGGGUGUUGACUCCUGCGUGCCAAGGUCGGUGGACGGGGAGGGGUGCGGCUACGCGACCUGCUGUUGUCGUGUUGUCGUGGCCUCCACUCGCGGGAGGAGAGAGAGGAAAGGAAGAAGGAGGAGUAGAGAGGGAGUGUAGAGCGAACACGGGGCGUCCACCGCUGUACCGGUAGAGUUAGAACAGGAACGCGGUGUGGUACCUGGGGCAAGCUAUCGCUGGAGGGGCUGCUGGUUCACAACGUCGGGUGAAAAAAGAAAAACGUUAAGCGUACAAUU